GACGAACGCUGGCGGCGUGCCUAAUACAUGCAAGUCGAACGCACAGUUUAUACCGUAGCUUGCUACACCAUAGACGGUGAGUUGCGAACGGGUGAGUAACGCGUAGGUAACCUGCCUGGUAGCGGGGGAUAACUAUUGGAAACGAUAGCUAAUACCGCAUAAUAUUAAUUAUUGCAUGAUAAUUAAUUGAAAGGUGCAAUUGCACCACUACCAGAUGGACCUGCGGUGUAUUAGCUAGUAGGUGAGGUAACGGCUCACCUAGGCGACGAUACAUAGCCGACCUGAGAGGGUGAUCGGCCAAACUGGGACUGGGACACGGCCCAGGCUCCUACGGGGAGCAGCAGUAGGGAAUCUUCGGAAAUGGACGGAAGUCUGACCGAGCAACGCCGCGUGAGGGAAGGAGGUUUUCGGAUCGUAAAGCUCUGUUGUAAGAGAAGGAAGGGUGUGAGAGUGGAAAGUUCACACUGUGACGGUAUCUAACCAGAAAGGGACGGCUAACUACGUG
This 505-nucleotide ribosomal RNA is filed under the name uncultured bacterium. RNAcentral's name for it is "partial 16S ribosomal RNA". It matches the Rfam family "Bacterial small subunit ribosomal RNA", at positions 28 to 507 of the family's 1533-position model. The record is from RNAcentral.